Long non-coding RNA from Triticum aestivum (bread wheat), 1090 nucleotides. RefSeq lists it as uncharacterized. NCBI's taxonomy places the organism in Eukaryota, Viridiplantae, Streptophyta, Magnoliopsida, Poales, Poaceae. The record is from RefSeq and is a predicted model, not a curated record. The transcript is spliced from 5 exons.
AAACGUCGUAUGUACCGACAAGAAAAGAAGGCUCAGACUCUGAAUAUUGUUAGUGGUCAACUAGCACCUGAGGCACAUGCUUCGUUAGGAUCCAAGGAAUGUACCCCUUUGAGCAACAUAACCAACACACACACAAAUGAUGUACAGGGGACUCCACGACUACUGUUCGACAUUCCGAAGAUGCUAAUGUUGGGCGAAAAAGGAGUGCCCAUAAUUGGUAUGCUCGACUAACAGACGAACAAAGAGCAGAACACUUACAUAAGCUGCGGUUGGCUCGCCUGCAAAAAAAGCUGUAGCUGACAGUGUUACUGUCGAAUUACCUCACAGCUCGUACUCGCGAUCUUCACCUGGUUCAGCCAUUACGGUACAAAUCUCCGAGGGUACUUGUCUUCCCAUGGCACGACACAAAGCGACAACUGCAACCGGCGCUGCGAGUGUCAAACAGCGCCAACCAUCUGCCGAGGAAGCGUCACCUGGUCAGAGCGCCAACAUUUGUUUUCAGUUCAUACUUGCAAUGUCACAUAAAUUGUGGACUGAAGCUGGAAUGCUUAUCAUCCCACAAGUUUCUACAUCAACUGUAGGUAUCACACAUUAUGGAUUGGCACAUUCCAGUAUCACCCGUCUGGGACACACGCUGGUUGGAGAGCCAAAGACAAAGGAGGACGAUUCUGAUGAUUGGUUGCACAGGAAUCCAACUUAGUACGGGGAGCGAGGUCGACUGAACACAAUAGUAACGUCUUACGGACUGGAUCAAGGUCGGCUGAACACAAUAGUAACGUCUUACAGGCAGGAGGAGAACACGGACAACAUGACUUUGUGCCCACGAGUUUUAUCUUCAGUCCGUCCAUUGAACCACAAGAUUCAACUGCCCGCUACGAGAAGGAGCGCAUUCGUAAGAGAACGAAAUACUCGGAAAUGAGCACGGACCAGAGAGAUGCUUUAUUAUAUCGGGUUCGCGAGUACAAGAAAAGAAAGUGGACGACUUGUGCCUCAUCCGACCAGUACGACCAUGCUGGAGUCAGCAACAUUGACGAGGACUCUGAUGUAGCCGGAAUUUUCGAGUCAAUGAGACCGGAUGCUCAAAUUGAAG